CCUCAUUUAAUGCAAUCUCCAUUACAGGAUUAUGAUCACAUCAAUAAAAUGCUCCAUAUGGUUUUUAUUUUGGGUUUUUUUUUUUUCCAUCCCUCUCCCUCUCUCAUUAAUACCAGGCACUCCAUCUAGAAAAAAAUAAAAAACAAACAAACAAACAAAAAACCAUAAAAGAAAAAAAAACCCAAUACCACAAAAUACCACCCCACCAAAUCCAACAGGAUGAUAGGAUGCUCUAGGGAGGUUGUGGGGGGUACAAAUUCAACACAAUGUAACAGCCAAUGCAAACUGCCCAUCAGAGGCUGAGCCCACAGAUCUCCUCAUUCCUGAGCUAUGCAAGUUAGCUCUGUCCUCGCUGUGAGCACAGAUCGUAAAACAUUAUGUUAGCAGACUAAAAAUAAAUAUAUAUUUGCAAUCACUUGCCAGCUCCAUGUGCUUCUCACAAGAACAUUUUACUCGAUCGGUUCCAUCCUAUUAAUCCUGCUGUGAACGAACUGCUGGAGGGGGAUACUGGACAUGAGCUCUAAUAUGAAAGGAUGCGAAAAUCCCUCUUUUCCCCAAGCCCCCUUCUUACCUUCAGUGCCGUGGCUGCAAAAGAUAUCCCUAUGCACGGGCUUCUCAGCACAUCACCACGGCGGUUAGAAUAGCGAAGGCUGCCCCACUGCAUGCAAGUUGGAGUGCUUUGCAACAGCAAAUCCUCGAUCCAGAACACAAGCUGCUUCUUCCCGUGCAGUGAACCGAGCACGAUUCAUAAGCGACUUCCACAUAGGGAACAAAAUAGUAAAAGAAAGAGGGGGAAAAAAAGAAAAAAAAAGAAAAAAAGAUUUCCUAACUUUUGGGUAAGCCCGAGUUUGUUUUAUUUUUGUUGGGUUUCGUGAAUCAUUUGCUUUUGCAGCUGGCAAAAGGCUGGAAACGCGAUCGCGCCCUGGAAGCCCCGCACCGGUCCACAGAGGUCCUGCCGCCUAACCUAAGUUGCGCGGGGAGACUUUGAACUCCGUGCCGCUGGGCAGCUCAGCCGGCAGCGCCCGGCCGUGGGCUGGGGGAGAGCGGAGCCGGGUCCCGCCGCAGGGCAGCCGCCGCCACUGGGCGCUCGCCUCCUCCCGGCGGGGCGGGCUGCGGGCUGCGGGCCCGGCGCGGCCGCUGCGGCGCCCCUGGGGGCGCGGAGCUGCGCUGCCGGCGUCGCCCCGGAGCCCGCGCUGUCCCGGCGGCGGCGGCGGCUCCGGCUCGGCACUGCCGCGGCCGCCCGCGCCCCGCUCUGCCGCUGCCAGCCGGCCCUCCCCGCGGCUGACAUCAGCGCCAGGAGGAGGAGCGACGCCGGGGAUGCGAAUAGCCGAGCCGAGGGGGGUUCCCCCUCCCGGCACCGCCCUGCCUUCUCCUCUCGGAGAAUCCCCCGAAAGCGGCGGCACGGUCGCUCCGCCGCCUCGGCAGGGGGCAGCCCCCCGGCUCCGCCGCCGCCCCCGGGCCGAGCGAGGGGCCGAGGGGCCGCCCUGGGGUCGGGGCUGCCGGGCGGGACCGGCCCCCUGACCCGCACGAGGCCGUGGAGCGGAGCGCGGCGCUGCCAGCGGGGGGCGGCGGGCGACGGGCGGCGGGCGGCAGCGCCCUGCGGAGCCUGCUGAGCGAGCGGCCGUACCCGCCGAGGCAGCCCCGCGCCCGGCCGCCCCGCACCACCCGCCGACCCGCGGCUGCGGCCCCGACUGCGCCGCCCUGCGCCCGGCUCCCCGCCACCGAGCCCGGGGAGCCGAGAGGCGUGCGGCGGGGCCGUCGGCCGAGCCCCACAGCGCAGCGGGAGCGGCCGCGGGGCCGGGCGGGGGGCGCCGAGCAGAGGCCGAGGAGCUGCGGAGCGCGAGGGUCCGGCGGUAGCGGCCGGAUGGCGCCGGGAGUCCGAUGGCACGGGGAGGCGGAGCGGGUCGCGGUCUCGGGGACAAACGAGGGGGCGAGAGGAGCGCGGCCGCGCCGCUGCCUCCACCCGGGAGCCGGCGCUGGGGAGGCGGAACCGGGGAGCGGAAUCCCCGCAUCGCCUCCCGCGGACUCGGUGCCGGCCGAGCCGGGACGUCCCGAAGCGCUCCCGGGAGGGGCAGCCCCGGCACCGUCGCCCCGCGCUCGGGAACCGCUGGCCGUGCCCCGGGGCGACAGCCUCUGCCAAAGCCGUAGGGUCUGUGUGCGGAAAGUGCCACGUGUGAGUGUGUCGGUGAGUUCUGCCGUUUAUGAGUGCUAGCGUGAACGUACAUUUUAAUUAAUACCUAAUUUGCUGCAUUUAUUUUAAUAAUUUGAGUAUCUUGAAGUAUUUGCACUGUUUUGCCAAAUGCUUGCAGUAGGCGCUUCAUAGCAAACACAAUAAUUAUUUGUAACUAAUUUAGCAUUUUCUCUGUACUUUGCAACUGGAUUUGAACUCUUUCUUGAUGAACAAGACAAGAAAUUGCACUUACCCUAACAGCACAAAAUUUUACGUGUCCUUCUUUAAAAAUGGUGUGAAAAUGUACACAAGAGCUUUAAUUCACCUUGUUCACCAAAGCAGCGGGUAGGUAACGUCUCAAUUUAUAGCUAAAUGUAGCUUCAACAACACAAUUUCUCUGAAAAAAAAGAAGAAGAAGAAGAAAGAAGUAUCUAAGAGAGAGGAGAGCUCUAACAGCAGCCUGUAAAAAUCCCCAGUCAUUCGGUGAACUGUAUCCAUUUUUACUUGUUAACUCAUACAUUCAAUGAGAUUCCUUGAAUAUGGACCUGGAGUGAACAAUUGCAUGGCCAUUAACCAUGCCAAACUGCUACAGAACAGACGUAAUUCCUUUUCUUCUAGGUUAUAUUUCCCUGUUGUAUUUCAGUUGCCUGAGUUUGAGCCAUGGUAUUUUGCCACACUGGGUGCUAUAUUCUAUGAAUGCAGCGAAUUGGCUGUCGCUUCAUUUUUUUGGUGCCAUAUAUAUAGGGAGCAGAGGUGCCUCAUUUUGCACGAACAGAACAUUACCCACAACCAGGAGUUGGUGUCCCAGCUGCAGUGCAGAGCAGUGCUCAGUGCCCACAAGCCGCUUCCACUUCUUUACCAACGUUUCUGAUUUUCUUCAAUACUGUGUGAAAUAAACAUAUGGGAACAACAGCAAAAGGUCAAAAUAUGAGAGCAGUGUGCAGCUACGUUUGGUGCACAUCGUGAUGGUGGCAUACAGAUUAAUAGUGGUUGUCAGUCCUUUUAAUACCUGUUUCACUUGGCUGUCAUUACAAUGAUUUCUAAACCAGUCAAGUCCAUGAAGGCGUAUUCUACCAGACAACAGUUUUGCACUUAUAAAGAGUCAAGAGAUAUCUGGACACGUGACCCCUCUCCUAGUAAUACGUUCAAAUAAAAAUUGUUAGUUGAAUAUAUGCUUUCCUGAAAGAAGUUUGAUUAUUACAGGGAGACAUACUGGCCUACAUGGUGGUUUGUCCUGAGCCAGAGCGCUCAGCCACAGGAGCGGCAGCUGUUCCCAGAAGGGAAGCAGGCAGUGUGCCGGGGUGGGUGGGUGCCUCACAGUGCUACUUGAGGAUGAGCUGCCAUGGAUCCAACAGUUCUGUUUGAACUAUGUUUGAAAUACAUAGCCAAAAGUUGAAGAUAGUGAAUGCUGUUAUUGCAGUUAAAAGUAACUUAAAAAAAAAAAAAUAGCUCAAGGCAUUGAUGGCUCACGUAACCGAUUUGGGAGGCAAACUGCUACCUCUAAAAAGGACAAACACCCUCAACAAAACAAAAGAGGUUUCUCACUUUUAUGAGGAGGCAAAGGCAGGGUAGGAUUAACUAUGUCCAUGUAGCAUCACUUUACUAAGGACGAAAAUAUUUCCUCAUAUUGAAAGGUAUUGCCGCUACCCUUGAUUCAGAUCAAGGUCUAAAUCCUGCAAUUGCUUGUUACUCUAAGCACAUGAGGAGGCCCCACAGGAACUAUUCACAUGUGAAAAGAGCUAGGACCAGAGCCAAAGUUUUGCAUACUGUGAAGGUCAAGCUUGCUUCCUUUGUAAGACUUGUACUUCAGAGAAAAACUCUCAGAAAUAUGGUUUCCAUACAGAAACUUCAGCUGAUUCUUCUUCUUCAGUUGUUGGGGAGGAUGCUGUAUGUGCGGUGGCUGAUUUACAGCGUUUUGUGUAAUUCUGGCCCCUGUGACUACGGUGCUGGCUGGCUCCAGGCACUGCCUUGCAGCUCUGGGAGCUGUCCCUGCCUUUCCCGGAUUGCUGUUUCUAUGUUUUCUCUUCACACUGACUUUUUGUAAACUUCUCAGAACAAAAGGAGAAAAGCCUCAUAGAUAUUAUACAACUGUUGGCUUUAGAGCUGUUAUAGAAUAACCUCGUAAUAAAAAUGCACUGGCCAUGCAAUGAAUUCUCAGCAUUUUUCCAAAGGUCAUACAAAAUAUAUUGCUUGAGCGGCCGUACUUUGGCCACUCAGAUAAGUCAUGGGGAGACCACAGCAGAUGACAGUCUCCAGGAAAUACUGUAAUUCACUUUUAUGUCUCUAUGAAGGAAAAUAAGAGACAAAGCCUUCCCCUGACUACUGGGGAGGGGGUAUAUGUGGAGACUGGCAUAGAGAACAAAAGGGAGCUACUUUUGCAAGUGUGACAGAUAAGGUUGGAGGUCUUUCUGCUGAAGGCCUUGCGUAGCUUUGCUUUGUUUCUUUUUGUUUCUCUUCAGAGCAACAGAAGAACGCAGAAAACAAAUUGUAGCUGCACUUUACUACAUCUUUUAACAGGAUUUUGCCUCAAUCCCAAGUUAUUUUCUGAGCACAUAUUUGAAAAUUAGUUUCCAUUUUCUCCAUUUUCCAUCAUCCUCAUUUACUGGAAAUGUAAAAUAAAUCUCACUUGGGAUCCCUGAGCAUGAGAACCGCUUUUACUUCUGCUUUUUGAUAUUACAUAUUCCCUAGUUUUACCUUUUGUAGGGGCAAUCCUUACCUGGGUUGCACAAUACUUCGUAAAUGACAGUUGAUACUCUAUCUGGACUUAACAUUGAAUACAGUUGUUCUUUUAGAGUUCCCUCCUUUGCAGUGAACUAUAAUUUAUAAUAGCCGAGCAACUUUUCUAAAAUAUUCGUAGAAAAACUAUUUUUGCUAAGAAACUUACAAAUCACUUUUUUUUUUCCCCACUCAGAUUCAUAAAUGCCUAAAAUGCAAGCUAGUUGAAAACCUAACUUCAGAGGAGCUGGAGCAGAACAGCUAUGAAACAUUCUGCUGCAAUCGUGUCUUUACACCACUGAAAAUAUUGCUAUCCAGUAUCAAAUGAAUACAGUAUAAAUUAGAAAUAUCAGACAUAUACAGCUACAGCCACAAAUCUAGAUGAACGACUGCCAAAUGGCAACAGGUACAUAUUCCUGUCAUUCCAAGAGCUGGAGACACCACACAUCUAAAGCCAAUAUGUAGGCAGUUCAGACUGUAUGGCUUUAGUAGGGUUGUGCUUUCAUGAAACAUACCUCGCUGAGUGACAGCCAGGCACCAGAGGUGGUUACUGUCUUGCAGGAUUGUUGCCAAAACGAUUACAAUAUGAAACUUAAGAAGUCCAAUCCCUAACAGCAGGAGGUAGAACAUACAAACUUCAUCAUCCCAGUUGUCGAGUGACAGUGUUUUAUAAAUGUCAUGAAUAAUGUAUAAAACAACUUAUUUUUUUGUACUGAACAUUUUGAGAGUUCAUGCACUCACACCGGAAGGGCAUGCUUUGGAAUGGGAAUGCGAGACGAGAGGCUAGAAAGAUUCAAAGCUGAACACAGUGCACACAAAGGAAUUUGUGAACCCAGCUCCCUGCUUAAUUACUCAAGAGCUGGUCAGGAGCCAUGCCAGCAACAGUACCACUGCUAUUUUAGCUGACUUAAAUGAGAUAAAAAUCAGACUGAGUCUCUAGCUUAGGAAUUCCUGCAUACCUUUCGUACAAUACAUAUUUGUCAUGUCUUUGAGAAUAAUAAAUUAUUUUAUUAAUAAAAAAAUGCUCAAAGCAUUCAUUUAAAUUAAUUUUAUAAACUUAACAAGUGUUACUCUGUGUUCUCUGCAUUUUUAAGAGUGUUUGGGGAUUUAUGUCUUGUAAAAUAGAAACAAACUAGGAAAACUGAAAUAUAUUGUGUCUUUUGCUGUACUUUACAGCACAGCUUGUGUUUAAGAAGCAGUCUAGACAUGUAAAAAUGCUAGAAUAAACAAUAUUUUUUUUCAUUAUUUUAAAUUAGCUUGUACUGGAAAGCUAUAAAUUUCAGAAUGAUGCACACUAGAAGGAUUACAUACCUUUCCAAAUAUUCAAAACAAAAGAUACUAAGAGGCGAUUAUAUUACCUGCUGUUAUAAAUACAAAAUCCCUUCAGAGUUAAUGCAAUUACCAGUGAUUUCCUAUAAAAGAAAAAGAAAUAAUAACUUUAUUUCCAAAUAACUUCAGGAUAUUUAAUUUCGGAUUAUGAAAAGUCACACUCUGGGUGUUUCUCUUUUUUUUCCCAUAUUGUAGUCUGUUGUUUAAUCAUUUCAACCUACAAACAAAAUUAAAUAUUAUUUAAUACUCAUUACAGGUCUUCAAAUAUCAGUUGGUCUUAAAUAUUUUCUCUCUCUCUUUUUUUUUUCUUUCUAGUUUCAGCUGAGUUUUGCAUGCAGUUGAAGAACAAUAUUUGUCAUGAAGAUUUCAUCUAAGUCUUCCUUGAAGCAGAAUGAAUUCCAGACUCGAGACCUCAUCUAAAUCAAACUGGAAUCUGUAUUAAGCUCAGAGUACAUUUUCAUUGUGUUUAUGUUCUACUUAUUUUUUUUUUUUAUUUUUAUUUUGCUGGCUGAAAUUAGCAUGUAUGGAACACCAAGUGUAGGGGACUGAGCUGUAUUCUUCUCUCCAGGAUAGUAAGUAAGUAAAUGAAAAAAUAAAUGAAAGAAAACAAAUCACAGAGUGAAUCUACAUGACUAUGGUAUAUCUGCAUACUUUACAGUACUGCAGGUUUAUAGCUGAGUUUCUGCAGGAUUAUUUCCUUCUACCUACAACCCAAUAGACUAUGACAGUACUGAAAAUUUCCAAGGAACCAAAAUUGGUAGGCCAUGAUGAACAAAAGUCUGAGGCAAGCACACUGGCGGAGAAUCUGUGCAAAUAGUUCUUGCUGUGUACUGCUACAAAGUGCUUAAUAAUUCCCAUUCCAAAGAUUGCUGUAUAAUAGUAGCGAGUGAGGUUGUUCAAUUGGAAAAUGCUUGGGAUUGUUUUGGAAGACAGAGUUAUGCAGAAAUGCAUGGCACUGAGAUAUAGAUUCCUUUCCUUCAAUUUAUAUAACAAGAUGUUUCUUAUUAAGUUUUUCACAGGAUUAUGUAACACACCUUUCAAAACAAGAGCAUGAAGAGGUAUAUUGACAAGAAAAGCUAACAUUUCCCCUGGUCAUAACUGGAUGUCACAUUGAUGGUCAGGUUUGGAAACACCACCAGUCAGUAAUUAACAAACAGGAGCCUGCAUUCAGUUUGCCACAUGGGAACAGUGUAGAUUACUGUAUCACUCUUACCUGACUUUUGUUUGACCUCAUAGGACAUUAUGGUCUAUCAUUUAAGUCUUGGCUAUUACUCAUGGAUGCUAUAUCUGCCUGCUGAAAAUAUAGUUCUGCCAAACAAAAUCUGAAAUUGCAUUUAUGUGUGGUUUUUGUUUUUCAUCAAAACAUCACCUGUACUUCUGUGAAAUAUGCAUAAAAGUUAAAUCAUGAGAUACGUGCAGGCAGAAAAUUCCUAUUCAGAACAAAAAUCAUUAAUAAUAAUGAUAUAUAGCAAAUAAUUUUUCGAUGGUAACUUCCUCUUGUUUCUAGAGUUACUUUUGUAACUGCUGAACAAAUAUCUAUAUUUGUUAUCCUCCUGAAUGCAGAGAAAAGUGGGCUAUCAUUUACUCUUGCUAGAUGCUUUGAGCUCUCUCAGAGAGCAUGUGGUAAACUGAAUGCAGGCCCCUGUUUGUUGUUUACUGACUGGUGGUGUUUCCAAACCUGACCACUAAUGUGACAUCCAGUUACGACCAGGGGAAAUGUUAGCUUUCUCUAUGCCAGUUUAUGUGGAACAAAUCUAAUAUAAGAAGUUAAUAAAACUCACACUGUUAAAAUGCUUAUGAAGAUUAAAGACAUGCUUGUAAAAGGUUUUUGAGAUAGUGUAAAAAUACCAAUGGGUGGUUAUGGUCGGCAACUAUUAGAACUGGAAAGAAGACUUUAGAAUCUUAAUGAUAGAGAGAAUGUAAGUUAUAGGUACACCCAGUAAAGUGGCUGUGUGUUGAUCACAUUAGGGUGUUCUGUCUUACUGUGUCACAAAUUAAUACAAAAAGUGAUGUGCAGUAUCAAGCAGUAAAUAAUUUAGAGUGAUUUUUGUGUGGAAGUUUCCCAAUCAUCCCACAAAGAAUGCUCAGCAUUUUUUGAAAAUCAAGUGCCUUUAACAAUAUCAAGCAAGGGAUGCACUAGUGCUAUUCAUUUUUAACAUCAAAGCUUGUAUUUCUACUGGUUUAUCAGUUUUCCAUUUAAUAGAAGGAAGAAAGGCUUCUUGCAUAUGAAACUGCUGCAAAAUAUGUUUCCCCAAACAGUGUACAUUGAAUAAUAUUUUAACCCACUGCAAAACCAGUUUAAUUUAUUGAAAAUGUGAUUACCAUUAUUCAAAAAAAUAUGCAAGAUGUAAAUAAUUUAUUUAAUGAAGAAUUUGAGGUGAUUUUGUAUGGCUAUCUGCAGAUGGCUGCAUUUCUCAUAGCAGAAUCGCUAGAGGGAGUCAUAGGCAAUGAUACUCCUUCAGGAUCUCAAACAGGUUUGCAACUGAAAAAUUAGAAGAGGAUUUUAGGUAAUAUUUAGCAGAAAAAGAAUACCAGAUAAUUGUAAUCUCUGUAAUUUAAUUUCGCUCUCUAGUUACUGAUUAUUAAUGAAACUAGUUUGGUCUCAGAAGACACCUAUAGCAAAUCAUGAUUUUGCAUAAGAAACAACCACAACAAACCAGCAAGAUAGAUGUCCCACAUAAGAAUUUAAAUUAACAUAUUUUUCAGUUAGUAUUAACGUGGGUGCAGUGCUGAGAAUGUGCUCACAGGAAUUUUAGAGCAAAUAGCAAAAGAAAAAUCAAACAUGAAUAGAAAUCAGUUAAAAGUGUAUUUGUCAGUCAUUUUUACCAAGGUUUCUGCACCUUUGUCUAAUUAAGUUUAGCCUAGGGCCUCCUUUGCUUUUAUGUUUAAUAUGUAGAUUUCAGUGCAGUAGAACAAAACUAGUUUUAUUCAAGAUUUAUGUAGCAGUAGGACAAAAAGGCUCAUUGGGAAAUAUAUACAUAUAUUGAAUUUUUGCUGUCCUAAGUAAUUUCCACAUUGAAUCCAAGCUGUGGAUUCACAACAUUUCUCACAACUAGGAGAACUAGGAAAAGAAUAUGGUUCUCAUCCUUAAUCCUAGCAAGUUUUGAAUGCAAUGAAAUGAUAUGCUGAUCUACUGUGAUAUUUUGUAGAUAAAACAUUUGAUUUAUAAUAAGGCAAUCAUCAAAAAGAUAUAUAUCUGUAUAUAUAUAUAUAUAUAAAUAUAUUUUUUUUAACACAAGUUUUCCUAACGAAGUCUAUGACAUCAAGCUGCGUGGUGCAGUCAACACUCCUGAGAGAUGGGAUGCUAUCCAGGGAAACCUAGAGAAGCUUGAAUAGUGAGCCCAAGAGAGCCUUAUGAGGUUCAACAAAUCCAAGUUCAAGGUCUUCUACUUGGGUCUUGGCAACCCCCCACUAUCAAUACAAGCUGGGGAAUUAAAGGAUAGAGGACAGCCCAGCCCAGCCUUGUGAAAAGGACUUGGGACACUGGCCGAUGGUAAGCUGAACAUGAGCCAGCAAUGUGCGCUCACAGCCCAGAAAGCCAACCAUAUCCUGGGCUGCAUCAACAGCAGUGCGGUCAGCAGGGAAAGAGAGGUGACCCUGCCCUCUACUCUGCUCUGAUGUGACCUCACCUGGAGUGCUGUGUCCAGAUGAGGAGUCCUCUGUACAGGAGAGAUGUGGACCUGUUGGAGAACAACCAGAGGAGAGACACAAAAAUAAUCUAAGGUAUAGAACACCUCCCCUAUGAGGACUAGGAGAGCUGGGGCUGUUCAGCCUGGAGAAUAGAAGGCUCCGGGGAGACCUGAUAGUGGCCAUUCAGUAUAUAAAGGGAGCUAUAAGAAAGAAGGGGACAGAUUAUUUAACAGAGUCUGUUGUGACAGGACAAGGGGAAAUGGUUUCAAACUAAAAGAGGGGAGAUUUAAAUUGAAUAUAAGGAAAAAGUUUUUACAAUAGGAUUUGUGAAGCACUGGAACAGGUUGCCCAGAGAGGUUGUGAGUGUCCUGUUCUUGGAGACAUUCACGGUCAGGUUGGAUGGUGUUCUGAGCAACUUGAUAUAGCUGUAGAUCAGCCUGUUAUUUGCAGAGGAACUGGACUUGAUGACUUCUAAGGGUCUCUUCCAACUAAAAUGAUUCUAUGACUCUAUAAUUGGUAGCUACCAAUAUAGCCUGAAGAUCUUAAGUUAGCACUCAUCCAGUGAAAUUAGAGUGUGCUCCUUUUUGGAGUCUAAUAAUAAAUGCAGUUUAAAGUAACAAACAACUUUGUACUUGUGGUACUUCAUAACACUGAAGCACAGCUUGUUUCCAAAAGAUAGCUACUUACAUUAGCUACUUGUUUGAAAAGAAUAUGAGACAAAAAAUGUACUGGUGACAAUUUUCUUAAGUGUCGUAGGUAUACAGUUUAAAAAUAUGUGUAAUUAGCUGUACCCCAAUGGCAUUUAUGGCUGUGAUGCUUUUUUACAGACAUAAUCAUGGUAAUAAAAGCCCUAGGAGUUGAUCUGGUGCAAAAAGGAUUCAUCUGAACUCCUGAAUUUAAACUAUUUUUAAACUCAUGUUAAUCAAAGAUUUCUAUGCUUUCUUAUUUUAGCUGUAUCAGUAUACACUGCCAGACUCAAGCAACUUAUUUUAGCCUAAGCAUUUAAAUUUCAUAAAAUUUCUCUAAAAAUUAACUGGAAAAUAAAAACAGGUCUACAGAGUGCUAAGAUAGUGGUGUUCAGAGUAGUGCAAGUGGUGUUAAGAGCUGUUGGACAAAAAAAUAGAUAUCAAGACACUUCUCAGCUCCUGUAUUUGUGUUCAGUGGAUUAGAUCAGAGUUUUAAAUUUUAAUCCCAUAUAUGACAUGAGGCCAAUUCCUAGAGAGAAACCUUUUGCUUUUACUUUGGAUUAAAUGUUGCUGAGUUUUUCUCAUAUUCGUAGCUGUGUUAUUUGGAACUGUUUCACAGAAUCAUAGAAACAUAGAGUCGCUCAGGCUGGAAAAGACCAACUGCAACCUAACUGUACUACCCUAACUGAAAUGGGAAGGGAUCUCUGCAUCCAACUGGUCCAACUCCUGUUCCAGAAGGGCACUUAGAGCAUGCUGCCCAGGACCAUGUCUAGGUAGUGUUUGAAGGUCUCCAAGGUGGAGUCCCCACAACCUCUCUCUUUGCCCUCUCCCUUCAACUAUUUGUACACAGUGAUAAGAGCCUCUUCUCCAGGCUGAACAGUCUCAGCCUAAAGCGUAUGGAAUAUGACCAUAAUUUGAGAAGAGUAAUCUAACUGCCUAAAAAUGCAUAAGAUAAGCUCUGAUUCCAGCCCAACAAUGGAUCUUUGGUAUAACUUAGAAAAAAAAUGCAAUUUCUUCAGUUUUGAAUUUUAUAAUUAAGAAUAAAAAAUGAAAAUAGUCCAUAUUUACCAUUAUUUUCAUUUACCACCUUCACUGUUAAUGACUUUAUAUAUACAGCUCAACAGGAAAACCUCUAGCUACUCUAGGCAGCUGGGGUUUGUAAUUAUUACUCUAAUUAUUCAGAAUGCCUGUAUUUGAGUUUAGCUUCUGCCAUCAUGAUCAAUACUUUUGACUUGAUGGCCUUGUGAAAUUCUGAUAUUUGCAUUCUUUAUAUUUUUAGAGAAGACAGCAAUCAGAAAGAAAUCACUGUCAUGUUUUUGAUGGUUUUGUUUGUAUACAUUGAAGAAAUGUAAAGUCAGGACAAGGCAAACUAGGAGAAAGCUGCUCUUUCUUCAUAACAUUACCACUGAGUGACUUUAAUUGCUUUAACUAUAUAAAGAGAGAACUCAGACUUACAAGUUAUUGAAGCUUAACAAACAUAACUCAUCAGCUGACCUUAAGUAACUGACCAAGUCAUUCCCCUCUGCCCAUGGCAAAGGCCUGGUAAAAUAUGUUAGCUUAUCUUUAUAACACACUCCCAUGCUGCAGUUAGAAUGGCUUAGACCACACAGGUAGUAGUUGCCAUGGAUAAGCUUAUACUAUUCUUUAAAGCAUUGCUGUUACAGUCACUGGUGUGCCUGAGCCCCUGCUUAUAGCAAUAUAUUUCUGCUUGUAAAAUUCCCUCCACAGACAAGACCAGCUUUUGCUUUUAUCAUUAUUUCAAUCACUUUAGUGUAGAUCCAAUUACACAGGUAUAAGAGUGUUUCUACUGGCAUACCCUGGCAUCAGUACAACAGCAGUUAAACACAUAACUCUAGAAUCAGGAUAGAUGUGUGAAUAACAACAUCUGAUCAACAGCCAUGCUGACAAAAUUUAAACGAGAUCAAGCUUAAAUCUUAUCCACCUCUGACAAUGGCAAUGCAUGUUAUGUGCCAGGCUUACUGGGCAUGAGAGGACAGUAUGACCAGAAGCUGAUUCAGGAAAACUUCCCUCAUGCAUGUUUAAUGCAAGUCAGAGAUAUUCAUCCCUAGCUGUGCUGUAGACAGUGGUGUCCUAACCCAAAACCACAUGCAUGGCAGCAAUAAAUGCCAAAUUUAUGACUACCACCAGAGCAUAUACAUAUACAUUAUGGCAUUGUCUAUCUAUAACUAUAUACUGUUGUGUAUUACAUUUCCCAAUGAGCUCUGCAUUCUUUUGUUAUGUGAAACAGAGAAAUAGACUGUAGAUCACGUUAGAUACGGAUUUUCUGCUUACCAAAGCCAUGGGUCAAUACACUAGAAGGCAAAGGUGAAGUACUACUGUAGUCUUUUUCCACUUUCGCUUCUAUACAUUUCCUUGCAAUGUGUUGUAAAUGAAGAGCAGAGGCCAUGAUCUGUAUUAGACCUGAACUAAAACUGUCUCACUUUGGUCUAUGAAAAAAAAAAUCUCAGCUUGUAAUCUGUACUGCCAUGUAAUUCAGGUCAUAUUCUAUCCAUAGUUAAACAAAAUGCUUUACCUGAACUGAAAAUAAAGUAUGCAUUGCUGCUGAUAUAUCUGCCAAAUUUAAAACAUGAUAUUAACUAAAGUCGACAGCAUAAGCCACUCAAACAAGCCCUGAGGGAGUCCAAAAUGCUCCUUAAUAUUUAUUUUUCAUAUUUGAUUGCAGGUUAUGCACAGGUAAGUGUAGUACUACCCUGAGGGUUUUAAGUGUAACGUAGUCAACCAUGAUAAUACCUUCAGUAUCUCAGAAGACAGUUCUCACAAUGACUAAUAUGAAAUGAAAGCGAAGCUGAGUGUUUUUCAGACUAGUGUUAAGUUUCCUCUACAGUUAUUUUAGUAGGUUUCCGAAAUGCUUUUGGUGUUUGCCUGUGAGUAAGAGAAAAACAAAUACUUUCCUAUAUCUAUCACAGUAUUUUCCAGCACUCAAAGAACCCUAACAUUAACUUGCUUUUAUAGCCCUGUAAUACACGAGAAAUCACUAUCCUCAUGAUCUUCCACUACUUCCUGUAAAAAUUUAGACUGGUGUUUCCCUGUCAUUUACUCAGAAAUGAAUCACUAACAGUUAGCACAUAUGCAUGUAGUAGUGACAAAAGAAAAUGAGCUGGAAUUAGUCUACUUCAGGUGUUCCCGUCCAUUUUAACCUCUCACAAUGGUAAAACAUGGAAGAGAUAGUCACAAAAAUACCAUGUUUUUAAAGAUAUUUUUCUAAAUCUUAAUUAUUUAAAAAGUAAAAUGUAAUAUCAUAACACAUUUAAAUAUAUUCAUACACAUUAGACAGACAUUGAAAAACAGUUAUGUCCCAGAAGAAAACAGUCUUCAGGUCAACCCUACCAGCUCUGGCUGCUCUAAGUUGCUCAACUGCUUCAAACAGACCUACUUCUGGCUUAACAGUGAGCGAAUUUCAAGCAGAUUUGUAUUGUUAGGAUAGCACAGAACACUAAAAAGUAUUACCUAAUUUUAUCUCUAAUAAGACAAAAAAAUGAAAAAGAAGGUAAAGGACAAAGUUAAGCCUAGGCUUCUUACAUAGUUUUUUGGUAGGAGUUAUACUUGCAUAAUGGGAUCAACAAAAAUUAAUAGGCUGAAUCUUGCCCCUUUACUCCACACUACUGAGGCCUCACCUGGAGUACUGCAUCCAGAUGUGGAUUCCUCAAUACAGGAGAGAGACAGACCUGUUGGAGUGCAUCCAGAAAAGGGCCACAAAAGUGAUCCAAGGGAUGGAAUACCUCUCCUAUGAGCACAGACUGAGAGAGCUGGGGCUGUUCAGCCUGGAAAAGAGAAGACUGUGAAGUGGCCUGAUAACAGAAUUUCAGUAUCUAAAGUGGAGAUACAGAAUAGAAGGGGACAGACUUUUUAGCAGAGUCUGUGAUGACAGAAGUAGGGGAAAUGGCUUCAAGCUCAAAGAUUUAGGUUGGAUAUAAGGAAAAAAGUCUUUUACAGUGAGAGUGCUGAGGCACUGGAACAGGUUACCUAGAGAUGUGCUUGACGCCCCAUCCCUGGAGACUUUCAAGGCAAGGCUGGAUAAGGCCCUUGGUAUCCUGAACUAUCUGUGGUGUUUCUGUUCAUUGCAGGGGAGUUGGACUAGAUGGCUCUCAGAGGUUCCUUCCAACUGUAAGGAUUCUAUGAUUGUAUAAAUGAAGAAAUACAGUACCCAAUGCUAUAUUUUGAAUUUCUGCCCCUCUCAAAGUCUUAGUAUCAACAGAACGUCUUACCUUCUGUAUUUCCAGAAUUACAGUUCAAGAAGUAAGAUAGUAUACACAAGAAAGGAGGGAUGAGGCUCUCCUGGCUUUCUGUAAGCAUCUCUGGUGUUAGAGCAUACCCACAGGUUACAGGAGACCAGAUUCUGUUCUCACCCAGCUGCUGGUGGGAUGGAGUAGUUGCUUUUGUGUGGAGUUUAGAAGAUGUACUCCUACUGUUAAUUUAAUUUAAAUUCUGGAUGAUAGGAAAAAAGUUUUCCUCUGUCAUUUCUCUAACACCAGUAGCUUUAGAGGAAGCCAAGUUCUACCAGAAAACAUGAGAUAAAUGUAAUUCUGGUGACUGGAGUUAUGAUUUCUGUACUAAGUUUGUCUUAGAAGACAAGUGAAAAGAUGCUUUAUCACAGUUCAGCUUUAAAUUUUGAAGGCUUUGUCUUGUGAAACUAGGAUAUUUCACCAAAAUGCAGUUCCUUUCCUUUUAUCAUCUUCAGAGAUGAGUUAAUGGAUUAGUAUUUUUGUUAAUAUAAUUAUUACAAACAUAAAACUUAAUCUGGGCAUAAAUAAUAAAGUUUUGUUACUGAUUUUAUUUUAUUUUAUUGAGUAAUCCUCUCAAGUAUGUUUUUAAAAGAACAAGAUGCAUAAUGGAAAGCACUUUAAACAGAUUACGUCCAAAAUUUGAAACAAAAAAGUAUUGAAGUGUUUCAAGAUUACUCUUGCAUUCAUUGCUUACGAAAAAUCUGAAAUUUUACUCUUGCUUUUUUUUUUUUUUUUUAACUUUUUCAUCUUAUACAAGCAGAAUGCAUGCAGGCAUGCAUGAGAAUUAAUGUUGCAGGUUUCUGUGGUAUAAAGUUAUUCACAGCAAGGGACUUCAGUGACACUGUACCAAACUGAAAAAAAAAAAAAAAAAAAAAAGGACUAAAGUGGUUUGUUCUGCCACCAGGGCCCCUGAAAUGUACUUACAACCUUUUUUGUACUAUAGUAGUAACAUUUUUAAUUUAUGUUGCACAAGAAGCAAGUUAAAAUCUUACUUCCUUUACUUUUUUCUCCUCCUCUAGCUUGUCUUAUUGGUUACCAGCUUUGCACAGCAUUUCUUUCUUUAUUCUUAGAACUAUUUGCAAUAACAUUUUUAUAUACCACCCUGUAAGUAAGGUUAUGGAAGUGGUUGAAUGCUGCUAAUGAGAACUUUGGUCCUCAUUGUUCUUCUGACCACUAGUUUGAAGAAGCACAUAGUGUUAGGUAGGAUCCUACAGAGGGGACAUAAGCUUCUAGUUUUUCAUAUUUUACAUUUUUUUCUUGAAAUUGUUCUAGCUUUUCCCUUAAUAAGCUCCAACUUUUAUAAGGCUCUGCUUUUCUUUCUUAGCCUGUACUGUUGCAACUAAAGAGGAUGAUGCCAUUAUCCUAACCCAACUUACUUCACCAUCGUCUAACAGAUCAUGCAGUUACUGCACAGAUCAGUGCAGUACAGUGCAGUGAUCCCUGAAGCUUCAUCAAAGCAAUUGGAUGCUGGACAGGUUACUUCUGCCUUUCAAACUGGGCUAAUAUGAUCAUAUUCAGCCACACUAACCUGAUUAUAUCACUUUUAGACUUUAUGUCUGCAUUUCUGCACACUGCUGCAUUAUGGCAUACAGGCCCAUCUCCUUACUUGGUGACUUGUCUUAGCUUUCCAGGCUGUGAAAACUUACUGCAUUCCAGCGUUAAAUUUAUAGCGACCUUGUUUUGUAACAGUCUGCUACAGUACAACCCCUUUUCUGCUCUUUUUGCCCUGCCAUCAUGGCUGAAUCAAAUCUUGCACUAAUAUUUCCCCUUUAUAUUUUAUUAAAGUUAUUAAAAAUGUUUUUGCCCUAUGAGAAUGGCAAUGAAAUCUAGCCUGGCAAAGAGUGGUGCAUCCAAAUGUUUCCCAUAAUAAAACCAGUAAUUGCUAGUGAGUUGCAAGUCUCAGUCUAGAGUAGUAAAUAAGGAUUCUUUUUUCAUGAUUUAUACAGUCAAUCCCUAUCAAGUGCUGUCUGCACGCAUCAGAGGCAAAUAUCUGCAAACAAAUCGUGUAAUAGGGCAUACUUCUACUCUGUACCAACCCCAAAAUGCAUUACUGCACUAUUUACACACUGGGAAGUACAAAGCAUUUCACAGAAUUAAUUUCCUCUCUUUCAUGAGAGAGAUAUAAUGCAUUAACUGAUUUGAAAACAGAGUGAGUUUCUUUUAUAAUGUGGUCACUCACUAGGCAGGCUUUCCACAGGGUACAGGAGCUACAGUAAACAAUCACUUAAACAGAAGGAAGCUCUUCAGUGCCCUGCUAUGCUGAUGUUUCUAGAAAAAGAAAACAAAACAAACCAAUGAAACAAACAACAACAAAAAAAGCACCACAGAAACCAAACUAACACUUCAUUGCAUGUUGAAAAGAAAGCGUAAGCACUCUGCUUAGAAAGCUUUAAAGCAUAAUUGAAAUUCAACAUGCAGAUUUCUGUAUUAUUACAUUGCUGUGUGCAUUAGAUUAUUUGCUGAGCAACCAGCAUUUUAAACAUCACAUUUUAAGAACUUUGUGCUAGUACAACAAGAAAUGCAGAAAAAUUAGGAUGACAGCAGAAGUAUGCUCAGGCACACAAUGAUUCUUCAGCUGAAAAGGGAACAAACAGUGCAGUGCUAGCCUAUGUACUGUGAGAAACAUUUCUCCCUCCAUGUGCAGAUGGAGCACAGAUCACUGGUAUGCUGACAAGCAAAACUCAAAACAAAGAGGUAAGCUACAUAUGUAAUGGCAGGUAAGCUCACUGAUCUUUUUAACCCAAUGAACAUCUGAUGUGAUGUGAGAUUCACUAAAUUAUAUAUUGCAAAUCAAGGUCAGAAUGAAGGGUGACUCAGAAUUCUGUAACAGUCUCUCUGCUUCACUGUAUGAAAAUGGUCACGAAUUCCAGGAUAUUUUUUCCUAUUUUAAUCUGAUUUCAAUUGGAACAUGUACUUGACUACUGAACUAAUUGUACCUAAACACAAACGUGCAAGAAGUAGAAGGAAAAUAAUUUAAAUAUAUAUAUAUAUAUAUAUAUGUUAUUGUUGUUCUUACAUAAUGCUGAUGCUGCUGAGCACACAGGCCAGUACCUCCACACAGAAUGAAGGUAUCAUGUUCACUGCUAAGAGGGCCAAGAUGUUAAAUUGGCAAUGUAACGCUUUUGGCUAACCCUUCUUUUUACUCACUACUGUCACAGCAAAGAGCUGUAGUGGUAUGAGAUUGCAUGUGACUGAAGCCUUCUUGCUGCUUUGGAAGAUGGAUGGCACUCACAGAGCCAUCCAAAGCCACAGUGCACAGGAGAAUUUGAUCCACUGUGCAAAGUGUUAGCCAUGCCAAAUAAAAUUAUUAGCAAAACUAUCAGACCGCUAACCUAACCGCUAAAAAUGUGGUCCUGACUGUUGAAUGUGUGUGUUAGAUAUACAGUACAGAACUACAUUUAUUGAGAUUGUAAGACACAUUUUUUUUUUUUUACUCAGAGUAAGUCAUAUUAAAGAAAAGUAUGCACAGAGGAACAGUGUGUGAACAAGAGUACUUACACACACGGAUGUGUGAUAAACUCAUUGAGGUUUUUACCAUUCAGGACAUCCUGCAGGAUUCUCUGUCACUAUUAGCACUCAAUGAAAUGCCUGUUCUCUGAAUCAGUCCUCCAUUUAUCUACUAAAUCCUUCUAUUACAUCCAACCUAAAGAACUAUUUGCAAGUGGAAAAUAUAAUCUAUACAUUGAAAAGAGGAAUACAUUAUCUCUUUAAUAAGGACUUGAAAGAAAAUGUGAUCUUGGAUUAUAGCUGUAUUUGCCUAUAACUGUAGAUCAUUAGUAAGGCAGACAGUGAAAAUAAAAGAUUCCCUGGCAACCCUCCCCCUCUUCAAAUGCCUGCUCAAGCAGAAAAAAACAACCGCCCUGCAUACAUAUUCCAAUGAGCCACUGUGGGGCAGUAACAACAAAAACAUUCCUAAGCAAAACAAGGGGGUUUGAACAGCCAGUUUGCCUUUUCCGAGCAGAGGAUACAUAGAAACAGUCCUUUUUCUAUUAUAAAACGUUAUUAGGCUUUUUGGGAAGCAUUUUAUAGAUAUGCUUAGCUUCAGCUCUUUCCAGAACGAUGCCUGCACUGAGCUACUCUGAAGCUCUGUUACUCAUUUUUAGAGCUGUGAAUAGAGGCUGUAUGUGAGGUAUACAAGACAGUUUAAAACACUAUCUGGAUUUUUUGUGUGUGCAUAAACUCCUCUACCUGAGGGCUAAGUAAAUAAGUUCUUCUUGAGAGAUUAUUCUCUGUGCAGGAAUUUUUUGUUGUAAAGCAUAGAAACCUCUGAAGAUUAGAUAUUUUUGUGCAGUCUUUGUUCCUCCCAGGGCAAAAUCUUGAGCGAACAGAAGUUAUUAUAAAAAAUCUUCUAUAUCUUAGGGUAAAAUAAUAUAUUUUGUUCAGUUUUGGAUGCAACUUAAAACCAGAAUUGCUGGGCUGCUUUGGAUCCAUCACUUCACUUUUCUAGGUUCAAAAUAAGAUUAACAGUUUUGUCUUCUAUCUCAAGCAUUCUGUAGGUUUAAAAAUAUCAGCGAAAUAUGAAGAAAUUAGCUGUUUUUUCUUUUUAAAUAGUACCAACAGUGUCUGUUUGAAUAUCUCCAAUUGCAGUCUGAGCCUUGUAUAAAUAUGAUUUCCUGUAAUAUUCAUUGCAUAUAGGCAUUGCUCCUUAGACCUACUGAAAGUUGUACCAGAUGAGUAGUAUAUGCUGAAAUGUAUAGUCUGUAAAAAGAAGUAUCACACUUCGACUGAAGUGUUAGAAAAAAAAAAAGGAUCAAAUCAUACAGACAUCUGAAUUACAGCCAUGUAUCUUCAGUUACUCUUUGAAGAUGAUUUUCAUUUUGAUCUUAAAUCUUACUCGCAAGUAAUUAACAUUUGGGGAUGCCUGACAGAUGGUACCACCUUGUCUUUUGGGGGAGUCUCUUCUUGUCUUGACUUUUCCAGAUAUAUUCCAGACCUAAAAUAAUUUUUGGGGAAAAGGAUAAAUGAACUUACUUUGGUUUGCAGACAGUAACCAGAAAAAGCAGGAAGUUUCUUAUAAUAUUUAAAGAUACUUCCAACUUUAAGUUCUUCAUUUAUUAGAUCUGUAGGAUUUAACUCUGUAACAACACUCUGUUUUUACAAACAUGAGGCUAUAAAUUUCAUGCUAGUACCAUAAGCAUUACUCCAAGUACUUCUCUUUAUAUAUUCCAGCUAAUAAAUAAUAACGUCAAUGCUAUUGGUAGUCCAGGAUAUGAAAUAUGUUGUUUUCGUUCCAUCUACAUGAAGAUCCCUUACUGAUAUUCCCUGGGUUUCCAGCAUUCAUAACUCUCAUGUUUAUCUGUACAGUUUUCCUUGUUUGCUUUACUUUUUUCAUCAAAUGGAAACACUGAAAUUUUAUGAAAGAAAUGGUUUAGAAGUUUUAUUUUAAUAUUUCAUGGUCUAAACAGCCAGCUGAAUUUUCAAUUGAAGCCUUCAAGGCUUCAUUAAGCAUCAUCCCCAAAUUUUAUUGUCCCCUCAGUUUUCUAAGAUAAUUCCUCUGAUGUUCAUGACUUUUCUUUAAGUACUUUUUUUUUUUUUUUUUGAACUCUAGAGACAACGUUUUUGCUUCACAGAAAGAAAGGAAACAAACAACAAAAACAUAGAAAGAUGGUAAUACUUAUUCACUCCCACAUACCCUGAAGAAUCAAGACAGUAAUGAGAAGACACUGUAUUUAACCACUGUACUGACAGAAGAAUCAGUGAGUUUCAUAGCAGAAUAUUUAGUCUGAGGUAUGUGAAAAUAGUAACUGUAGUCACAUUUUUAAUUAUACUUCACGAGACAUCUUGGCUAUUCUAGUAUUAGAGAUAACAAAGCACUAAGCAUACCAAGAAAAGUUCAGUGUGCUUUUCACGUUCCAAGAUCAGUUUGAAGAUCUGCCAGUUACAAAAACAGUCUUUCUGCCUCUAUGAUACCUAACAAUUUGUGCACAUAGUAGCAUGAUUCCAUUACAAAAGGCAGAUUUGUCCUGUAAAUGGGCACUUGGAGAUGAAGAAAUUAGUCAAUCAGAAAAACAGGGGAAAAUAUUAGUAGAGUUUGCAGCGAUUUGAUUUACAUACUUUCACUUUUAAUAGACCUCUGUAUUAGCCCUUUGCUAAACUACUAGCCAGCCUUUCCUGUAACAGGCUGUUGUACAUUACAGAGGCACAGCCGAAGAAUCAAACUGAUAUUUUAGAGCCCUGAAUGUUACCACAUUAAUAGACUACAACUUGAUUUAUUUUUAUUUGAGAUCUGAGGUUCACUUUUUCAUUCUUUUGCCUCCAAACAUAGAUAUUCUUACUCAAAGACAGCCCUUCAAAUGUUCACAUAACUGUCCACUUGUGCUCUGAGGGGAAAGAGAAAGUAAAUCAAGAACGCCUUCCUUAGAAAAACUGAAGAUUAAAUCUCAGUCUCAGUUGAGUUCCUACAUCUUCCACUGCUUUACACUCUAUGGGCUGCAAGUCUGUUCUGAGGCACAGGUACCCCAAAUGUACAUUUUACAUAAAUUAAAGAACCACUGUGGAAAUUACAUGAAGUGCUGGAGAAUAUAAUCCUUUCUGAGUUGUCUGACACACUCCAGAAACAGAUCUCUGCGGGAAACACUGAUUAUAUAUACCAGGUUUAAAAGCAGAACUAACAGUUAAAAGCUUGUUGAACAACGCAAUGAUACUGUAUUUCUUAACUUGGAAAGGUGUUCAUCCAUCCUGCUCAGCCAGGAUGUUCAUCCGGCCCGUUUACCAUUUAUGAGACAUUGUGUUAGCAUUGAAUUAGCUUAUAGAUUGUUUUAAUAUGACUUGAAGCAGUAGGGUGUAUAAUUGUUUGAAUGUUCCUUUCCACUGACUGCACAGCAUUACUUCUUUCUGCACCUGAGAAAGCUUUUUCCUCCACCUGAACACUUAACGAGCAAAUUUCCAGACAUUCAGAAGCAAAUGCAAACAAUUUAGAACAGACCUUGUUCCUGCGAUUAAGGCCAAAAAAGAAACUACUCAAAGGAGCCCAUACAGCUAUGUUUUGUAACAUUUUCUCUUUUCUGUGGCACUUGUUAUUAUUUUCUUCAGCAAGGCACUGUGGCACAAGACACCCUUCCUUAUCCUGUUCUCUGGAGAGAAAAGUAGUUCUGCAGUCUCUGUACUGCAAGUUCUGUGUGAAUACAAAAUGUAUGAAGACUCAGUGAAAUGAGCAAUUUCGGUUCCAUUUAAUAUUCUUUAGGCUGCUGUUAUUUUCUGCAACAUUUUUUUAAGUUCUGUGUCAUGUUGUUGAAAUUGUGAGUUAAAUUUGCCACUAAUUAACAAGAGGACUUUACCAAUGAAACCCUGCUUUGGAAAUCCCUAUGACUGUGCUUUAAAUUGCUUGCAUACAUGCACUCUAUAGUGUAUUUGCAUCAAUGACAGCAUGUGAUAAAUAGCAUUAUGUGAGUUAAUUAAUGACUGCAUAGCAUAUUCAGAUCAUAAGCAGUCAAAAGCAUUACAAUGAUGUUUUUUACAUCUGCUAAAAUUUUUAUAAGCCAGAAAUAAAAGACUGAGUAAAGGUGGCCAUGUGGGUUGGCAAUUAAUUGGAAAAUCACCAAAGAUUACAUAGUGAGUGAAGCACUUACUGAAAAAAAACAAAAAUGAGAAAAUGCAGCCAUUUGGGAUAUCUGUUAUUAAACCUUCAAACAAAUGUAACCAUGUCCUUUAAAAAAAAUACAAUUUUGUAUACUGCAUUAGUUUGCAAUGAAUAUGACAUGUAGUGCAUGAGAAAGUACUCCUUGGUCAGUACAGGACAUAGCAAAAUGCCUAGCACAUUAAAGCUUGUGUGUGAAAUGUGUAUGGAUACCAAGUUGACCAGUGAGAUGACAAAAUAUUUAUGUUAUUCUAAAUAUAAAAUGUCAUACACUUGUAUCUACAUUCUCUUCCUUGGACAAUCUAGUUACUUGUAUUCUCUUCAUUAUACAGUGAAGUAAUUUACUAAGUCAUGAGUCUGUGUCAAUUAUAUUUAGAUUUAACAGAAGUUCUAGAAACUGGACAGAUAAAUGACAUUACAAGACCAGGUGAAGUAAUUAUCAAUCAUGGUAAUUACAGGUGUUUUAUUAUGUUUAAGUUUAUGACCUAGUAAGGCUUGCAACAGUCCUGGAAGAGAAAUAAUAUGAUAGAUGUCUUACAUAUGGGUAGAUAAAAAAAGUUUGAAGUAAGCUGAUCAGGGUCUCUGUAUCUGAUCCUUACAUUUAGGUCAUACUUCCAGCUAUGACAUCACAUAUGAUAAAAGUAUUCAAGCUAAGCAAAUCCUAUUAUUUAUUAAAGAGUCUCUCAGUAUAACCUUCUCUUUCCAAAGUUAGGAGGAAAAAUUGUAUCAGAUUCAUAAUAACUUCAGAUUAACUUCAAAAUAACUUUAAGCUCAAGGAGGGAAGGUUUAGUUUAGAUGUCAGGGGUAAGUUCUUCACAGAGAGAGUGAUGUGGUGCUGGAACAGGCUGCCCAGAGAGGCUGUGGAUGUCCCAUCCCUAGAGUUGUUCAAGACCAGGUUGGAUGGGGCCCUGGGCAACCGGGAGGUUGGUGGCUCUGUGUGUGGCAGGGGGGUUGGAACUUGAUGAUCACUGGGGUCCCUUCCAACCCAAACCAUUCAAUAAUUCUAUGAUUCUAUGAUUCAGGUAGAUGUCCAUCACUGCUGAGUUCUAUGAUCACUGACAAUACAGGUUUGCAGCAGUGACAAAUGUCAGAAGUGUCAUAAGAAUUGCCACAUUUUGGCCAGAUUGUAAACUUUGUAACAAAGCAGACUUUUGGGGGGAUUGAGGCACUGGAGAGGGAAUGGAGUUAUGCAUUAAAGUUGGCAACUGGCCAACUGUAAGCUUUAUUUUGUGCUAUUUGCUAAGCAAUAAGGAUACGUUACACAUGAGCAACUAAUUACCUAUUACUGUCCACUUAGUAACGCUGUAGUACACAGUUCUCAAAUAAUACUGAUACCUCAUUUUGGUAGGAUUGUCAUGAAAGAGAGAUCUUGUCCUCUUGUAAGAAUUUGCAAGGGAAACAGACCAGGAACAGGAUGGGAAAGAGGCUUAGAGUGACGUUUGAAUCAGACAGGAGAGAAAGAGAGAGAGCAAGAACUGAUAACACAAUUCAUGCCUCUAGGCUUCAACUAGUACCUCAAAUACUGUGUUACUUAUCCAAGACAUUACUGUGAGCUUUGUUACUGUAAACACACCAUAUAGUUACAACUGUUUAUAAGUGCAUGACAGCAUUGGGGAUCCAUUUCCUCUAAUACUUAACACUGAAAAAAAGCCUAGGAGAGGUUUCAGAAACAUAUCAUUGACACAAGGGAACAGAUAUCAAAAAAAGGCUUGGAAAUGAUUUAUUGAAAAAUAUAGUUCUUGCCAACGGAUCUAGACAGCUGAAUUGUAGAAGCAGCUAUGCUUUUAUUAAAAUAACAUAAAAUAAGAGGUAUACGUGGUUCUGGAGUCCCUCAAAGGUCCCUUCAUCUUCAUCAGCCUCCCUUCUCAUGGAAGGAGCACUGAGAUCUCCAAAUCACACAAACCAGCCACAUCUUCUCCUCCCCCCAGUCUAAUACAGGUCUGCUUAUUGCUAACACACCACUAUCUCUGUUAAAAAAAAUCUGCUCAAACUCCAUUACAGAGAGGGAUCUUAAAAGAUAAUAGCAACGAGGAGUUUGUUUGUAUCGGUUGUUACCACAGAGUGUUUGUUGAGGCAGGACAGGCUACAAAUGCCUGACAUAAACACACACGAAUGGAUUUCUCAGAGGUUGGCCUAGAUCAGCUAAAGAUAAACCACUAAUUGUAUUAAACUUUUUUUUUUUUUUUGACAUGUACCCUAAAAAAAUUCCAUAAAUAUGGACAUUGCUUGAAUUCUUCAUGACUAAUAAUAUUAAAGAAUGAGAAACAGACAGUAUUUCACAACAAAAUAUGAUUUCCAUUAUGAUUGGUGGUAGAUUUUUU
RNAcentral lists this long non-coding RNA (24671 nucleotides) under Gallus gallus (chicken). The record is from RNAcentral. Lineage: Eukaryota; Metazoa; Chordata; Aves; Galliformes; Phasianidae.